Molecule: ribosomal RNA, 704 nt
Filed under: gamma proteobacterium MOLA 454
Lineage: Bacteria; Pseudomonadati; Pseudomonadota; Gammaproteobacteria
Description: bacterial SSU rRNA
Rfam family: Bacterial small subunit ribosomal RNA
Source: RNAcentral
CCGAACGGUAACGAUACUAGCUUGCUAGUAGGCGACGAGUGGCGGACGGGUGAGUAACGCGUAGGAAUCUACCUAGUAGUGGGGGAUAGCCAAGGGAAACUUUGGGUAAUACCGCAUACGAUCUAAGGAUGAAAGGGGGCCUCUCUUUGAAGCUCUCGCUAUUAGAUGAGCCUGCGUAAGAUUAGCUUGUUGGUGGGGUAAUGGCCCACCAAGGCGACGAUCUUUAACUGGUCUGAGAGGAUGAUCAGUCACACUGGAACUGAGACACGGUCCAGACUCCUACGGGAGGCAGCAGUCGGGAAUAUUGGACAAUGGGGGAAACCCUGAUCCAGCCAUGCCGCGUGUGUGAAGAAGGCUCUGGGGUUGUAAAGCACUUUUAGUAGGGAGGAAGGCUCGAUGGUUAAUACCCAUCGGGAUUGACGUUACCUACAGAAAAAGCACCGGCUAAUUUCGUGCCAGCAGCCGCGGUAAUACGAAAGGUGCAAGCGUUAAUCGGAAUUACUGGGCGUAAAGCGCGCGUAGGCGGCUUAGUAAGUUAGAUGUGAAAGCCCCGGGCUCAACCUGGGAACUGCAUCUAAAACUGCUAGGCUAGAGUAUGGUAGAGGAUGGCGGAAUUUCCUGUGUAGCGGUGAAAUGCGUAGAUAUAGGAAGGAACAUCAGUGGCGAAGGCGGCCAUCUGGACCAAUACUGACGCUGAGGUGCGA